This 482-nucleotide ribosomal RNA is filed under the name uncultured bacterium. RNAcentral describes it as "partial 16S ribosomal RNA". It matches the Rfam family "Bacterial small subunit ribosomal RNA", at positions 28 to 507 of the family's 1533-position model. The record is from RNAcentral.
GAUGAACGCUGGCGGCGUGCCUAAUACAUGCAAGUCGAACGCUUCACUUCGGUGAAGAGUGGCGCACGGGUGAGUAAUACAUAAGUAACCUGGCAUCUACAGGGGGAUAACUGAUGGAAACGUCAGCUAAGACCGCAUAGGUGUAGAGAUCGCAUGAACUCUAUAUGAAAAGUGCUACGGGACUGGUAGAUGAUGGACUUAUGGCGCAUUAGCUUGUUGGUAGGGUAACGGCCUACCAAGGCGACGAUGCGUAGCCGACCUGAGAGGGUGACCGGCCACACUGGGACUGAGACACGGCCCAGACUCCUACGGGAGGCAGCAGUAGGGAAUUUUCGGCAAUGGGGGGAACCCUGACCGAGCAACGCCGCGUGAAGGAAGAAGUAAUUCGUUAUGUAAACUUCUGUCAUAGAGGAAGAACGGUGGAUAUAGGGAAUGAUAUCCAAGUGACGGUACUCUAUAAGAAAGCCACGGCUAACUACGUG